Triticum aestivum (bread wheat) is the source of this 125-nucleotide non-coding RNA. The record is from Rfam. NCBI's taxonomy places the organism in Eukaryota, Viridiplantae, Streptophyta, Magnoliopsida, Poales, Poaceae.
UAUGUACUUCCUCCGUCCGGAAUUACUUGUCAUCAAAAUUGAUGAAAAUGGAUGUAUCUAGAACUAAAAUACAUCUAGAUACAUCCAUUUCAAUGACAAGUAUUUCCGGACGAAGGGAGUAGUCC